GGAUAACAUAUAGAUAUCCAUUGUCUAGGCCUACUACUCAGCCAUUUAUGAAAUGACUACAGAAAAGGUAUCAUCACUGAUGACCAAGCUGAUUGGCUCUAGUGCAAGUGGGAGAUUGUUGGAAAUGUGCCCUAAAACCAAUCAUAUGAUGAUACUUUACGGACAUUUCACAUGUUAAACUAAUCUAGUUUAAAUAUAAAGGGCAAAGAUUAUUGUUUGAGCUGUCUCAUAUAAAUGUUAUAUGCUUAAACGAUAAGUCCAAGGAAUAUGUGAUUGGGAGAAUGCAAUCUAAAGAAGUUAGAUUCAUGAGACCAUUCUUUCGUAAACACAUCCUAAACGUUCCUGAUCAUAAGAUUGCCAAUUGGGCAUUGACAGUUUGUUAAGAUCAGUACGUGCUAUGUCUUCUCUCAGGGAGAGUGACUAGUCUCGAGUCAUUGGUGUGUGUGACA
RNAcentral lists this long non-coding RNA (449 nucleotides) under Malus domestica (apple). RNAcentral describes it as "long non-coding RNA (MDOM_LNC018842)". The record is from RNAcentral. Lineage: Eukaryota; Viridiplantae; Streptophyta; Magnoliopsida; Rosales; Rosaceae.